GGCUAACGCUGGCGGCGUGUCUUAGCCAUGCAAGUCGAGCGGACUUAUGGGGUAACUUAUAAGUCAGCGGCGGACGGCGGAGUAACACGUAGCUAACCUACCCUCUGGACGGGGAGUAACCUACCGAAAGGUGGGCUAAUACCCGAUGUAGUCAUCCUGUAUAGGGGUGAUGAAAGGUGGGCUUCUGUUUACAAGCUCAUGCUGGAGGAGGGGGCUGCGGCCUAUCAGGUAGUUGGUAGGGUAAUAGCCUACCAAGCCGAUGACGGGUAGCCGGCCUGAGAGGGUGACCGGCCCGAGGGGCACUGAGAUACGGGUCCCACUCCUACGGGAGGCAGCAGGCUAGAAAUUUGGGCAAUGGGGGAAACCCUGACCCAGUGACGCCGCGUGCAGGAAGGAGCCCUUCGGGGUGUAAACUGCUGUCGUGUAGGGAGAAGGGUACUAAGGUGAACAAUCUUAGUACUUGACGGUACUACAGGAGGAAGCCCAGGCUAACCUCGUG
This 499-nucleotide ribosomal RNA is filed under the name uncultured bacterium. Its description in RNAcentral is "bacterial SSU rRNA". It matches the Rfam family "Bacterial small subunit ribosomal RNA", at positions 28 to 507 of the family's 1533-position model. The record is from RNAcentral.